GAGUAUAUAGCUCAAGUGGUAGAGUGCAUGCCUAAUAUGCAUGGGGUCCUGGGUUCAAUCCUCAGUAUGGCCU
Molecule: transfer RNA, 73 nt
Filed under: Camelus bactrianus (Bactrian camel)
Lineage: Eukaryota; Metazoa; Chordata; Mammalia; Artiodactyla; Camelidae
Also listed under: 2 other names
Rfam family: tRNA
About the family: Transfer RNA (tRNA) molecules are approximately 80 nucleotides in length. Their secondary structure includes four short double-helical elements and three loops (D, anti-codon, and T loops).
Source: Rfam by way of RNAcentral